This 364-nucleotide ribosomal RNA is filed under the name uncultured bacterium. RNAcentral's name for it is "partial 16S ribosomal RNA". It matches the Rfam family "Bacterial small subunit ribosomal RNA", at positions 338 to 699 of the family's 1533-position model. The record is from RNAcentral.
CCUACGGGAGGCAGCAGUGCGGAAUAUUGGUCAAUGGACGCAAGUCUGAACCAGCAAUGCCGCGUGCAGGAUGAAGGCUCUAUGAGUUGUAAACUGCUUUUGUACGAGGGUAAACCCCGAUACGUGUCUCGGGUGGACAGUAUCGUACGAAUAAGGCUCGGCUCACUCCGUGCCAGCAGCCGCGGUAAUACGGAGGAUCCGAGCGUUAUCCGGAUUUAUUGGGUUUAAAGGGUGCGUAGGCGGUUUUAUAAGUGAGAGGUGAAAUGUCGCGGCUCAACCCCGGAACUGCCUUUUAUAAUGUUGGACUAGAGUAUAGUUGCGGUAGGCGGAAUGUAUGGUGUAGCGGUGAAAUGCGUAGAGAUCA